Molecule: ribosomal RNA, 253 nt
Filed under: uncultured bacterium
Lineage: Bacteria
Description: partial 16S ribosomal RNA
Rfam family: Bacterial small subunit ribosomal RNA
Source: RNAcentral
UACGUAGGGGGCUAGCGUUGUCCGGAAUCACUAGGCGUAAAGCGCAGGUAGGCGGUUUGGUAAGUCUUUUGUGAAAGCUCCCGGCUCAACUGGGAGAGGUCAAGGGAAACUACCGGACUAGAGUUCGGUAGGGGAGACUGGGAUUCCUGGUGUAGCGGUGAAAUGCGCAGAUAUCAGGAGGAACACCGGUGGCGAAGGCGGGUCUCUGGGCCGAUACUGACGCUGAGGAGCGAAAGCGUGGGGAGCGAACAGG